GGGACCGUAGGAUAGCUAGGUAGACUGCCAGGCUCGGGCCCUGGUGGCCCAGGUUCAAAUCCUGGCGGUCCCA
RNAcentral lists this transfer RNA (73 nucleotides) under Thermoproteota archaeon. Its description in RNAcentral is "Crenarchaeota archaeon (sediment metagenome) tRNA-Pro". It matches the Rfam family "tRNA". From Rfam's summary of the family: Transfer RNA (tRNA) molecules are approximately 80 nucleotides in length. Their secondary structure includes four short double-helical elements and three loops (D, anti-codon, and T loops). The record is from RNAcentral. Lineage: Archaea; Thermoproteati; Thermoproteota.